Molecule: ribosomal RNA, 164 nt
Filed under: uncultured bacterium
Lineage: Bacteria
Description: partial 16S rRNA
Rfam family: Bacterial small subunit ribosomal RNA
Source: RNAcentral
UAGGGAAUCUUCCACAAUGGACGAAAGUCUGAUGGAGCAACGCCGCGUGAGUGAAGAAGGUUUUCGGAUCGUAAAGCCCUGUUGUUGGUGAAGAAGGAUAGAGGCAGUAACUGGUCUUUAUUUGACGGUAAUCAACCAGAAAGUCACGGCUAACUACGUGCCAC